Molecule: long non-coding RNA, 866 nt
Filed under: Lepisosteus oculatus (spotted gar)
Lineage: Eukaryota; Metazoa; Chordata; Actinopteri; Semionotiformes; Lepisosteidae
Description: lncRNA (ENSLOCG00000023321.1)
Source: RNAcentral
CUGGAUUCUGAACACAGCUCUGUUUAUUGCAGAGACAGAUGCAAUACAUAAAAACUCAGAAAAGGGGUAGAAAAGAGUCAAGGGUCUGGGGUGUGUUUAUACCCACACACACGAUUAUGAUGGAGAAUAGGGAGAGCCAUCGGUUAGCAUGCAAUACUGAUAUAACAGCACAGAGCAGAGCAAUGCAAGGUUGUGAGUUUGUGCCUCACCUGGAGCAGUUCUUUUGGGGUGGUGCUCUGUGGCUAAGGAUCUGUGCCUGUGACCGGAAGGUUGCCGGUUCAAAUCCCACAACCGGCAGAGGAAUCCUGCUCCAUUGGCCCCUGAGCAAGGCCCUUAACCCCCACUGCUCCAGGGGUGCUGUAUAAAUAGCUGGCCCUGCACUCUGACCCCCAGCUUCUCUCCCUGUCUGUGUGUCUCAUGGAGAGCAGGCUGAGGUUUGUGAAAAGACAAAUUCCUAAUGCAAGAAAUUAUAUAUGGCCAAUAAGGUGAUCUUAAUCUUAAUCAAGAAAGCUGAAAUUGAAAACGAGGGAGGCCCCUGUCACAUGAUGAGGGUACACGGCCUCAGGAAGCGCGGACGUGACGUAUUUUCCGGCGAUGGCGGGCGAAGAUGGCGGCCGGUAGCGCUAAGGGCUCAUUUGAAUCCAGGCAGUAAACACAGCGCGCGAGUGUUUGAUAAGGGACCCGGGGCUCAAAACCCGCUCCCGGUGAUUACCAGAUCUUGGCUUCACGGAACGGCCGGUGCUCUGGAAGAAGCAAGGUCUGCCUCUGGAUCCGUGUUCGCGUCUGGGGUGAGAGGGAGACAGCGCCACCAUGGGGCGAAGAUCGACGUCCUCCACCAAGAGUGGGAAAUUCAUGAACCCCACUGA